This is a long non-coding RNA of Lagenorhynchus albirostris (white-beaked dolphin), 446 nucleotides long. RefSeq lists it as uncharacterized. The record is from RefSeq and is a predicted model, not a curated record. NCBI's taxonomy places the organism in Eukaryota, Metazoa, Chordata, Mammalia, Artiodactyla, Delphinidae. The transcript has 3 exons.
GCCCCAGACUUUAUUUUUUAAGAACAACUUUAGAUUUACAGAAAAGUUGAGAAGAUAGUACUGGGUUUGCAUAUAUCUGCACCCAGAUUCCCCUAUUAGCAACAUUUUACAAUAGUAUGAAGCACUGAAGAGCAUGAUUGAGCAAACCCCCAAAUGAUGACUUCCCAAGACCCCGAAAGGGUCUGAAACUCCAAGUCACUCCAAGGAACGUCUGCCUUUCUUUCUCCGGGGCUAUCCACCUGAUACCACCACAACCAGUUGAAAGAGAAUACCUUUAAGAACAGCUGGAAGGAACCAACCGCCAAACUUCAACCGGCACUGAGGUUUCUGGAACUCCUCAUACCAACAUUCUGUCCUACCAAAGAGUGAAUAUUGAAGUAUGCCACAUCUCUGCAAUGAAUGACCCCCACGUCUGUUAGGAAGUUUCUGCGAUUCCAUCCAUAGAC